AUAAGGAGUCGGACCUGCCCAGUGAAUAAAUUUUAAACGGCCGCGGUACUCUGACCGUGCAAAGGUAGCAUAAUCAUUUGCCCUAUAAUUGAGGGCUAGUAUGAAUGGUUUGACAAGAAUAAAGCUGUCUCUUUAUAAUUAUAUAGAAUUUUAUCUUUAGGUGAAGAAGCCUAAAUAAAAUUAAAAGACAAGAAGACCCUAUCGAGCUUAAAAUAAAUUAAUAAGUUAAUAAUAAUAUUUAUUUAAAAAAAUAUUUAUUAAAAAUUUUGGUUGGGGCGACUGAGGAACAUAUAAAGCUUCUUUUACAAUAAGUUACUACUAAGUAUUGAUCCAAAAAAUUUUGAUUAAAAAAAUUAGUUACCGUAGGGAUAACAGCAUUAUCUUUUUUAAGAGCUCAUAUCGAAAAAAAGGUUUGUGACCUCGAUGUUGGACCAGAAUGUCCUAAAGAUGCAGAAGUCUUUAAGGGUUGGUCUGUUCGACCAUUAAAAUUCUA
Molecule: ribosomal RNA, 493 nt
Filed under: Akibumia orientalis
Lineage: Eukaryota; Metazoa; Mollusca; Gastropoda; Littorinimorpha; Laubierinidae
Description: partial 16S ribosomal RNA
Rfam family: Bacterial large subunit ribosomal RNA
Source: RNAcentral